GGAAGAGUCAGUGACGAAUUUCAUUGAUUGCUGAAGCAUGCUUUGGGUUUGAUGCUGAUUGAUAGCCACUGAAGCCAAUUGAGGUCAGGCUGCAGAGCUCCUGCGUCAGUGGUCCGUGGAAUCCUUGAACUUCUGGCUGGUGAGAAGCAAAAGCUCCAGACUCUUGGAGCCCAGGAGGAUGCUAAAGGAUACUGGUUCUUGCCUGAUGGACGAAAGCCACUGACCAAAGCAGGUUUUGCUGUUCACCGAUUCAAACCUGGGGACUGGGUCCUAAUCCGCUCUUGGAGGGAAGACAAGUUAACUCCGAAUUGGGAUCCUGAUUUUCCAAAUGCUCCUGACUUCAGACACUGCUGUGAGGACCCGUAAACCCGGCUGGACUCAUCACACCCAAGUUAAAGGACCAGUAGAGGCUCCUAAGGAAUGGACUGUAGUUCCUAAGGGAGACUUGAGACUACAACUCAAAACGAAAACUUGUUGAGACAAGCUGAUAUUUUUCUUCUACUGUGACAUUAUUAUGUAUAUCACAUUAUUCUUCUUGUCAUUUGCCCUUCCAGCCCCAGUUCACAACCCAUUCCUAGAGAAAGAUAAUAGCUUCCAGAACCUGAUACAGACAAUUGCUGACAUUUUCUUCAUCCGAGACUGCUGGAUUUGUGGAAGACCUCAACAAUUUGAUCAGUGGCCAUGGGUAGCUGUCCCUCUGAGCCCAGCUUGGCUCUUGAACAAAAGGUUGGAUGUGCACAAUGGAACGGAGUUUUGGUCCAACAAAGAGAAACAUCAAUGGUCCCUAAUUGAGUCUGUCCCUGUCUGAAUCAGACUGGAGAAGGGGAGUGGUUGGGAAAUAGUGAGUGUGAUUGGACUUACUCUGUGGAGACCAAGACAACCCAAUUAGAUUGCACGAAGUAUACACAUAGAUGGAAUCAAACCCAUAUUCAGUGCAACAAUGGUAUAUGGCGUCCUUGCACUAAUUCAGGAUGGGAACUAGAUUAUUGCCAAUUUCCACCAUGCCGAAAUCUGAAUUGGCCUCCAGAUCGAUGUGAAAUCGUUUUACUCGCCGGGGAUGAGCAUGGUCACCCAUGUGGGCCCUGGCAAAUAGCAGAAUGUAUGAGGCGGGAGGAAAAGGGAAUCUCAACCCAACCUUUGUAUCAGUGGGACUGGCAAAAUUCAACCUGGGCUGGAUACUUCACUUCCUUCUGGAGUAUAAAGGAUAGAUCUGAAGCUAACAUUAUGAGCUGUAGUUUUAAAGGAAAACAGCAGUUAUGGAGAUGUCAAUAUAAGGACAAUAUAUGGACUCUUUACUAGAGUGGUCCAUUGGGGGACAAGGACUCUCAGUAUUAUCCUGUAGUAUUCAAUAGGACCAGAAUCUUUGAAUCAGACCACCCUGCAUUGAAGGGGCAUUAUUGGAUCUGUGGUCAAACUGCUUAUACCCACCUACCUCUUAACUGGACUGGUGUGUGUUAUGUUGGAUUAAUCAGGCCGAAGUUUUUCUUUUUACCUGGCACAGGUAGGAAUCAUCUAGGGGUCCAAUUGCAUAUUGAUUUAGAACGAGAGAGACGAAGGAUUGAUACUUCUCUCACUCAAACUGGAGAUGUUAAUGGAUGGGGGGACACAUGGCCUCCUGAGAAGAUAGUUCAAGAAUAUGGACCAGCCACAUGGGCUCAGGAUGGUAGUUGGGGAUAUAGGACUCCUAUGUGUAUAUUAAACAGAUUAAUUCGGCUCCAGGCAGUUUUAGAAAUUGUCACUAAUCAUACUACCAUGGCUUUAGACCUGUUAGCUGAACAGGACACCCAAACCAGAGAAGCCAUUCUACAACAUAAGUUAGUUCUAGAUUAUUUGUUGGCAGAGGAGGUGGAGAUAUGUGUAAAAUUGAAUCUUUCUACUUGUUGCAUGAAAAUUGAUGAUAAUGGAAGAGCUAUAAAGGAAAUUACUAAAAAUAUCAGGAAACUGGCUCAUGUUCCUGUAAAAAUUUAGAACCCCCCAUUUGGUAAUUCAUGGUGGAUUUGGUUCGGUGGCAGCUGGUGGAAGCAAGUAUUAUGGUUUGGACUGAUUGCACUUCGUGGAAUUAUACUGUUACCAAUCUGUCUUCCUUGAUUAAUUUGUCUCAUCACUGGAGUGAUUCAUAAAACCCUAACACGAGUUCUAGGGAACCAGAGCAAGAUGUGUAUGCUAAUGUUACAACAUCAGGGACGGACACCAGUUAAUAAGGAGGAUACUAAUGAUGAAGACAAUGAUAUUCAGAGUAAUGUGUUAUUACAACAAUUUCUACAUGCGAGAUCUUCAAAACAUUAGAAAACAAAAGGGAGGACUGAGUGCAAGUAGCUGAAGUGAAGAUCUCUCACUACCAUUGACUAAACUAGAUCAAGCCUGCAGACCUAAGUUUCGGUUUCUUGAAGAUCUCUCAUAAUCAUUGACUAAAGCAGGCCUAAGUUUGUUUCUUUAAAAUCAUGUUUGGCGGGGAGGAGGAGAGGAGAGAAAGAUUUAUAACCUGUCAACAUUCCAGUUCCUAAUCAUGGAACACAACCUAUAUAACCAAUCAGAAUGUAUGAGGGGUACUGGAGGUGAGUCUGGGCUUUUUCUUGGGGUACUUUGUAUAAAAGUUGCAAGUGGGCACUCGGCGGUGGAUCUUUCCUGGCUCCGAACACAUCCCAUUUGCUCGGAGUUUGGGAUGAUCGUCCGGCUCUUGCG
This is a long non-coding RNA of Sarcophilus harrisii (Tasmanian devil), 2682 nucleotides long. RefSeq lists it as uncharacterized. The transcript is spliced from 3 exons. The record is from RefSeq and is a predicted model, not a curated record. Lineage: Eukaryota; Metazoa; Chordata; Mammalia; Dasyuromorphia; Dasyuridae.